CAGAAAUCCUAAUUCCUAAAUUAAGAAACCCUAACCUUAGGCCCCCUCACCACAGCCGCACCCCACCCCCCUUUCACCCCUUCAGUGCAACAAUUUCAGAAACGGGAAAUUAGAGAGGGAGAGUAAGGGAACGGAGAAGAGAAGGGAGGGGUGGGGACUGUCCGCCGUCACUGCCACCAUCUUGGAACAUGUCGUCGAUGCCGAUGCAGAGAGGGGGAUGAGGUACCACCGUGCUCUUCGCCGCCGCUGUCGAGCCACGCGUUGCUGCCAUUCUUGUGCCACCGCCGUCGCCCUCAUCGCUGCUUUAUGGAGCCCGCAGAGAGGAACGCGAACCAGGAUCCUCCGUGUCGCACCGCCGAUCUGUCACAGUGCUACUGCGUCACCAUCACGCCAGGGUGCUGCUGUUGAAGUCAUUCCUGCCGCCGCUGCUACUAGGGUUUGUCGCCGUUGAUGAAGCUUCAGCCGCCGCUGAGGAAGGGAGCUCGAAGGUCGUCGCUGGGAAGGAGGAUUGGCCGUCACCGAACAGAACGCGACAGUACUGAGAGACAUCACCAUUGUUGACAUCGGAGCUCGACAAGGGCUGUAGCGCCGUCGCCAAACCACCGUGCCGCCGUAGCUGUCUCCGAGAAGGUCGUUGGAGCUUGCUGAGGAUAUUGUUCUGGUUCUGAAGCAAUUCAUCCAUGUCAAUGCUCAUUUUUAUCCCCUGUUCUGCCUCCGCCACUGGGUUCUGUGAGUUGCCGGAGCUCUCUGCCACCGGGAACCAACAUUCGAGCUGCCCAGGAAACCACCAUUAGAACCACUACUGUUUUGAGAUUAUUGUAAAUUACCUUGCCGCCGCCGUUACUGGAGGUAGCUGCCGGCUCUAUUUGGAGACUGCUGCUAAGUCACCACCAAAGCUAAGAACAUGUGCUGGGAUCUGAUGCGGUACCGCUGCUGCUAUGGAUUCGUAAUAUUGGGUUUACCGUGUUUAAAUUCUUCAAUUACGGUUAAUUGAGUGACACAGGUUUGAAGACUCUGUUUGAAGCUGCGGGCGAUUAUAGAACUUAUUUACGAGUUAAGUUUAUGACUUGAGUUUCUUUCAUAGAGUUCCCUCGCCUUUGUAGCUUUAGUUUUUAUUUUAUGUAGAGGGAUAGGAGUUGUAUCUGAAUUUUAUUUAAAUUCUUUUGUAUAAUAUUUAUUAUUAUUAAU
Molecule: long non-coding RNA, 1188 nt
Organism: Arachis duranensis
Lineage: Eukaryota; Viridiplantae; Streptophyta; Magnoliopsida; Fabales; Fabaceae
Exons: 3
Source: RefSeq, a predicted model, not a curated record